UGUUCAAGCCGGCAGGUGUUGCAUGUGCGGGGUUGUGGGGGCCUUUGGGUUCUGCUGCCGCAGGAUUGGCCAGUGAUAAAUGUUGCGUGAAGGUGAAGCGUCUGGGAAGGCGUACCGGAGUGGGUGAGAGUCCCGUAACUGUAAGCGUGGCACUGGUGAGGGUUGCCCCAAGUAGCGUGGGACUCGUGGAAUUUCGCGUGAAUCUGGCGGGACCACCCGUCAAGCCUAAAUACUCCUUGGUGACCGAUAGUGGAUUAGUACCGUGAGGGAAUGGUGAAAAGUACCCCGGGAGGGGAGUGAAAUAGUACCUGAAACCGGUCGCAUACAAGCCGUCAGAGCCUUGUGGGGUGAUGGCGUGCCUUUUGAAGAAUGAGCCUGCGAGUUAGUGAUGCGUGGCGAGGUUAACCUGUGUGGGGGAGUCGUAGCGAAAGCGAGUCUGAUAAGGGCGUGAGUCGCGUGUUCUAGACCCGAAGCGGUGUGAUCUAUCCAUGGCCAGGAUGAAGCGUCGGUAAGACGUCGUGGAGGUCCGAACCCACUUCAGUUGAAAAUGGAGGGGAUGAGCUGUGGAUAGGGGUGAAAGGCCAAUCAAACACCGU
RNAcentral lists this ribosomal RNA (596 nucleotides) under Cutibacterium avidum. RNAcentral's name for it is "bacterial LSU rRNA". It matches the Rfam family "Bacterial large subunit ribosomal RNA", at positions 264 to 843 of the family's 2925-position model. The record is from RNAcentral. Lineage: Bacteria; Bacillati; Actinomycetota; Actinomycetes; Propionibacteriales; Propionibacteriaceae.